Molecule: unclassified non-coding RNA, 538 nt
Filed under: Candida tropicalis
Lineage: Eukaryota; Fungi; Ascomycota; Pichiomycetes; Serinales; Debaryomycetaceae
Description: sequence contains 18S rRNA gene, ITS1, 5.8S rRNA gene, ITS2, 28S rRNA gene
Rfam family: 5.8S ribosomal RNA (bases 183-336)
Source: RNAcentral
UCGUAACAAGGUUUCCGUAGGUGAACCUGCGGAAGGAUCAUUACUGAUUUGCUUAAUUGCACCACAUGUGUUUUUUAUUGAACAAAUUUCUUUGGUGGCGGGAGCAAUCCUACCGCCAGAGGUUAUAACUAAACCAAACUUUUUAUUUACAGUCAAACUUGAUUUAUUAUUACAAUAGUCAAAACUUUCAACAACGGAUCUCUUGGUUCUCGCAUCGAUGAAGAACGCAGCGAAAUGCGAUACGUAAUAUGAAUUGCAGAUAUUCGUGAAUCAUCGAAUCUUUGAACGCACAUUGCGCCCUUUGGUAUUCCAAAGGGCAUGCCUGUUUGAGCGUCAUUUCUCCCUCAAACCCCCGGGUUUGGUGUUGAGCAAUACGCUAGGUUUGUUUGAAAGAAUUUAACGUGGAAACUUAUUUUAAGCGACUUAGGUUUAUCCAAAACGCUUAUUUUGCUAGUGGCCACCACAAUUUAUUUCAUAACUUUGACCUCAAAUCAGGUAGGACUACCCGCUGAACUUAAGCAUAUCAAUAAGCGGAGGA